UUCCGGUUGAUCCUGCCGGAGACUACCGCUAUCGGAGUCCGAUUUAGCCAUGCUAGUCCACCGAGUCUUUGACUUGGGGCAUAUAGCUGAGUAACACGUGGCUAACCUGCCCUGUGGAUGGGUAUAACCUCGCUAACGUGAGGCUAAUACCCAAUAUCAGAUGAGGAUGGAAGUAAUCCUCAUCUGUGAAACGUUCUGACGCCACAGGAUGGGGCCGCGGCUGAUUAGGUUGUUGGUGAGGUAACGGCUCACCAAGCCGAUAAUCAGUAGCAGGGGUGAGAGCCCGAGCUGUCAGUCGGCAUCUGAGACAAGAUGCCGGACCCUACGGGGUGCAGCAGGCACGAAACCUUCACAAUGCACGCAGGUGCGAUGGGGGGACUCCGAGUGCAGUCUUCCAAAACGGAAGGCCGCUUUUCUGCACUUUAAGCAGGUGCCGAAACAAGGGGUGGGCAAGACGGCUGCCAGCCGCCGCGGUAAUAGCCGCACCCCGAGUGGUAGUCAUUGUUAUUGGGCUUAAAGUGUUCGUAGCCGGACACACAAGUCUGCUGUGAAAUCUAUGCGCUUAACGUAUGGACAUGCAGCGGAUACUGUGUGUCUAGGAACCGGACGGCGUCGAGGCUAUUCCCGGGGUAGGGGUGAAAUCCUAAAAUCCUGGGAGGAGCACCUGUGGCGAAAGCGCUCGACGAGUACGGAUUCGACGGUGAGGAACGAAAGCCAGUGGAGCAAAGCGGAUUAGAUACCCGCGUAGUACUGGCUGUAAACAUUGUGCGUUUGAUGUCGGACAACCUCCGAGGUUGUCCGGUGCCGAAGUGAAAACGUUAAACGCACCGCCUGGGGAGUACGGUCGCAAGGCUGAAACUUAAAGGAAUUGACGGGGGAGCACCACAACCGGUGGAGGCUGCGGUUUAAUUAGAUCAAACGCAGAGCACUCUACCAGAGCCGACAGCAGAAUGAAGGUCAGCUUGAAGAGCUUACCUGACGCGCUGAGAGGAGCUGCAUGGCCGCCGUCAGCUCGUGCCGUGAGGUGUCCGGUUAAGUCCGGUAACGAGCGAGACCCGCAUCACAUGUUGCCAUGGAUCCCUUCGGGGAUUCGGCACUC
RNAcentral lists this ribosomal RNA (1099 nucleotides) under uncultured Nanohalarchaeota archaeon. RNAcentral describes it as "bacterial SSU rRNA". It matches the Rfam family "Archaeal small subunit ribosomal RNA", at positions 1 to 1096 of the family's 1478-position model. Lineage: Archaea; Nanobdellati; Candidatus Nanohalarchaeota. The record is from RNAcentral.